CUUCGGAAUUCAGACACAGGUGCUGCAUGGCGUCGUCAGCUGUGUCGUGAGAUGUUGGGUUAGUCCGCAACGAGCGCAACCCUUGUCCUUAGUUGCCAGCCUUAAGUUGGGCACUCUAAGGAGACUGCCGGUGACAAACCGGAGGAAGGUGGGACGACGUCAAGUCAUCAUGGCCCUUACGUGUAGGGCUACACACGUGCUACAAUGGCAUUUACAGAGGGAAGCGAGACAGUGAUGUGGAGCGGACCCCUUAAAGAAUGUCGUAGUCCGGAUUGGAGUCUGCAACUCGACUCCAUGAAGUCGGAAUCGCUAGUAAUCGCAGGUCAGAAUACUGCGGUGAAUACGUUCCCGGGCCUUGUACACACCGCCCGUCACACCAUGGGAGUGGGAUGCAAAAGAAGUAGUUAGUCUAACCUUCGGGAGGACGAUUACCACUUUGUGUUUCAUGACUGGGGUGAAGUCGUAACAAGGUAACC
Molecule: ribosomal RNA, 476 nt
Filed under: uncultured gamma proteobacterium SUR-ATT-1
Lineage: Bacteria; Pseudomonadati; Pseudomonadota; Gammaproteobacteria
Description: bacterial SSU rRNA
Rfam family: Bacterial small subunit ribosomal RNA
Source: RNAcentral